This 500-nucleotide ribosomal RNA is filed under the name Bacillus subtilis. RNAcentral's name for it is "bacterial SSU rRNA". It matches the Rfam family "Bacterial small subunit ribosomal RNA", at positions 996 to 1496 of the family's 1533-position model. Lineage: Bacteria; Bacillati; Bacillota; Bacilli; Caryophanales; Bacillaceae. The record is from RNAcentral.
AAUCCUAGAGAUAGGACGUCCCCUUCGGGGGCAGAGUGACAGGUGGUGCAUGGUUGUCGUCAGCUCGUGUCGUGAGAUGUUGGGUUAAGUCCCGCAACGAGCGCAACCCUUGAUCUUAGUUGCCAGCAUUCAGUUGGGCACUCUAAGGUGACUGCCGGUGACAAACCGGAGGAAGGUGGGGAUGACGUCAAAUCAUCAUGCCCCUUAUGACCUGGGCUACACACGUGCUACAAUGGACAGAACAAAGGGCAGCGAAACCGCGAGGUUAAGCCAAUCCCACAAAUCUGUUCUCAGUUCGGAUCGCAGUCUGCAACUCGACUGCGUGAAGCUGGAAUCGCUAGUAAUCGCGGAUCAGCAUGCCGCGGUGAAUACGUUCCCGGGCCUUGUACACACCGCCCGUCACACCACGAGAGUUUGUAACACCCGAAGUCGGUGAGGUAACCUUUUAGGAGCCAGCCGCCGAAGGUGGGACAGAUGAUGGGGGUGAAGUCGUAACAAGG